This 612-nucleotide long non-coding RNA is filed under the name Callithrix jacchus (white-tufted-ear marmoset). RNAcentral describes it as "lncRNA (ENSCJAG00000081628.1)". Lineage: Eukaryota; Metazoa; Chordata; Mammalia; Primates; Cebidae. The record is from RNAcentral.
UUUCAUUUGUUCUGGCCCCAGUGACAUGUGGUGUAGAUCCAGAUAUGUCCUGGGUCUUGUGAUCAUAGUCUUUCUUUUGAAAACAGUUGCUGUCAAUCUGUCACUUCUUUGUUUUAGAGCUCAGCCAGUUUGAAAAUGUGAGGUAUCAGCUGCUGUUGCUGUAGGUCCAUUUCUAUUUUCCAGCAGGUGGGUGUGUCUGUCUCUUUCCUUUCAUCUUCAUCCAGGCUUUCUUCUUUCAGGCACUUUCCGGUUUGUCAAGCCAAGUAUGCCUGUCAUGUUGGAACCCAGCCCUGGGACACUCACCAACUUCUCUUUGUGCCCAUCUUUCAGUGAUAGAAAGAAGCAAGUGAUCAUCUUUAGUCUUGAUGCUUGUGAAUUAUGACUCAUCCUCAGCUUGCGAAUCUGGAAUUGGAUCAGCUGGGAUGUAUUAAAAACUUCUCUUUACCUUAACAUAAAAUCUAAGUGGGAAAUAAAUAUUUUUGCAGAAGUGAAUCACUCAUAUUUGAAGCUAGUGAAGUUGCGGGCACACUCAGAUUUCUUUUUUUGUUAAAGUAACUUGAAAGAUACUUUACUGCAUGCUUUAGUCUGGCCAAAUAAAAGGGGAAAUUGGGC